AAUGAGGGUGCUCACACUCUGCACCCAGAGGUUUGUAAUAAGUCUGGGUCCCACACGGAACAGCAUGUGGUGGCUCUGGACUUCCUCGUGGAAGAGUUACUUUUCAGAGAUCUGAGAAAUCUUAAUCUGAGGGGCAGAGGGAACCUCAAAUGCCGAGCCACAGCCUUGUUAACAACUGGUCAUCUCUGGACAUUGUUCUGGAUAUAUCUCACUGAAGAGCUAAGGUGAUAAAGUUCUUGGUUUAAUAGAAUUGUAAAUAAAACAUUACUAGCUCCUGUAGAACAUUGUCCCCGGAUUCAUCCUAUGCUCUUGCAAACCAAGACAUCCAGUGCUGAUCAGGAAUUUAAGAAAUUAUAAUAUCGAGAGUAAUUGUCUUCACAUAAUGGUCACACACAGAAAUGACAUCAAGAGCCAAGUUGUCCAAGGAACAAAGGAAAAAAAUACUUAUUUUCUAAACAGAAUAAAACUCAUUAUAACUUGUAAUUUGCUACAUGGCACCGUUGGGAAAUUU
Long non-coding RNA from Herpailurus yagouaroundi (jaguarundi), 511 nucleotides. RefSeq lists it as uncharacterized. The transcript is spliced from 4 exons. The record is from RefSeq and is a predicted model, not a curated record. Lineage: Eukaryota; Metazoa; Chordata; Mammalia; Carnivora; Felidae.